GCUGGGUGUGGUGGUGCACACCUGUAAUCCUAGCUACUUGGGAGGCUGAGGCAGGAGAAUUGCUUGAAGCCAGGAGGUGGAGAUUGCAGUGAGCCAAGAUUGUGCCAUUGCACUCCAGCCUGGGUGACAGAGUGAGACUCUGUCUCAA
Molecule: unclassified non-coding RNA, 148 nt
Organism: Callithrix jacchus (white-tufted-ear marmoset)
Lineage: Eukaryota; Metazoa; Chordata; Mammalia; Primates; Cebidae
Rfam family: Metazoan signal recognition particle RNA
About the family: The signal recognition particle (SRP) is a universally conserved ribonucleoprotein. It is involved in the co-translational targeting of proteins to membranes.
Source: Ensembl